This 521-nucleotide ribosomal RNA is filed under the name uncultured bacterium. RNAcentral describes it as "partial 16S ribosomal RNA". It matches the Rfam family "Bacterial small subunit ribosomal RNA", at positions 899 to 1397 of the family's 1533-position model. The record is from RNAcentral.
ACUCAAAUGAAUUGACGGGGACUUGCACAAGCAGUGGAUUAUGUGGUUUAAUUCGACGGUAAACGAAGAACCUCACCCGGAUUUGAAACCUAAUUGAAUCUCAUGGAAACAUGAGCGUCUCACAAGGACAAUUAGGCAGGUGAUGCAUGGCCGUCGUCAGUUCGUGGUUUGAAUUGUUCCCUUAAGUGGGGUAACGAACGCAACCCUCGUUGGCUGUUAUAUUUGUCAGCCGAGACUGCCCCCGCAUUAGUUUGUAAAUAGAAAUAUUUAUUAAUUGAUGCGGGGGAGGAAGGCGAGGAUGACGCCAGGUCAGCAUGUCCCUCUGAUAUCCGGGGCUACACACAUAAUACAAUCGCCAUUACAACGCGACGCAAAGAGGUAACUCAGAGCAAAUCGUUAGAAAAGUGGCGCCAGUUCGGAUUGAGGUCUGCAACUCGACCUCAUGAAGCCGGAAUUGCUAGUAAUCGCGGGUCAGCUAUACCGCGGUGAAUACGUUCUCAAGUCUUGUACACACCGCCCGU